Molecule: ribosomal RNA, 482 nt
Filed under: uncultured Pseudonocardia sp.
Lineage: Bacteria; Bacillati; Actinomycetota; Actinomycetes; Pseudonocardiales; Pseudonocardiaceae
Description: bacterial SSU rRNA
Rfam family: Bacterial small subunit ribosomal RNA
Source: RNAcentral
GACGAACGCUGGCGGCGUGCUUAACACAUGCAAGUCGAGCGGUAAGGCCUCUUCGGGGGUACCCGAGCGGCGAACGGGUGAGUAACACGUGGGUGACCUGCCCUUCACUCUGGGAUAAACCUGGGAAACUGGGUCUAAUACUGGAUAUUCACUGUCUAUCGCAUGGUGGGUGGUGGAAAGUUAUUCGGUGGGGGAUGGGCCCGCGGCCUGUCAGCUUGUUGGUGGGGUGAUGGCCUACCAAGGCGACGACGGGUAGCCGGCCUGAGAGGGCGACCGGCCACACUGGGACUGAGACACGGCCCAGACUCCUACGGGAGGCAGCAGUGGGGAAUAUUGCGCAAUGGGCGGAAGCCUGACGCAGCGACGCCGCGUGGGGGAUGACGGCCUUCGGGUUGUAAACCUCUUUCGACCGGGACGAAGCUUUUGUGACGGUACUGGUAGAAGAAGCACCGGCCAACUACGUGCCAGCAGCCGCCGUAAAA